GCAGGCUGGGCCUCAGGUCAGGCCUAGGGCCAUGGCCUUCACAGACCUGCUGGAUGCUCUGGGCGGCAUGGGCCGCUUCCAGCUCAUCCACAUGGCCCUGCUGCUGCUGCCCUGCGGCCUGCUGGCCUGCCACAACUUCCUGCAGAACUUCACGGCUGCUGUCCCCCCCCACCACUGCCGGGGCCCUGCCAACCAUGCUGAGGCCUCCACCAACGACUCGGGGGCCUGGCUGAGGGCCACCAUACCCCUGGACCAGCUUGGGGCCCCUGAGCCCUGCCGGCGCUUCACCAAGCCUCAGUGGCCCCUGCUGAGCCCCAACUCCUCCGUCCCGGGCGCGGCCACGGAGGGCUGCAAGGACGGCUGGGUCUAUAACCGCAGUGUUUUCCCGUCCACCAUCGUGAUGGAGGUCAGAAGGGGCUGGGUGCGUGGGGGGGCUGUUGCCGAGGCCCAGUCUGAAGCGCCCACGUCUUCCCUGCAGUGGGAUCUGGUGUGUGAGGCCCGCACUCUCCGAGACCUGGCGCAGUCCGUCUACAUGGCCGGGGUGCUGGUGGGGGCUGCCGUGUUUGGCAGCCUGGCAGACAGGCUGGGCCGCAAGGGCCCCCUGGUCUGGUCCUACCUGCAGCUGGCAGCUUCGGGGGCUGCCGCAGCGUAUUUCAGCUCCUUCAGUGCCUACUGCGUCUUCCGGUUCCUGAUGGGCAUGACCUUCUCUGGCAUCAUCCUCAACUCCCUCUCCCUGGUGGCUUCCAGAGUCAUCCCGCUGGCUCCUCCUGCAUGGCAAGUCCCAGUUAGUUGUACAGAAUCUGCAGAAGGUGGCUGCAAUGAACGGGAGGAAGGAGGAAGGGGAAAGGCUGACCAAGGAGGCGGUGAGCUCCUACAUCCAAAGCGAGUUUGCAAGUGUCCGCACCUCCAACUCAAUCUUGGACCUCUUCCGAACCCCGGCCAUCCGCAAGGUCACGUGCUGUCUCAUGGUGAUUUGGGUGGCAGGCAGCGCAGUUCUGGCUCUGGAGAGUGAGGGGUCUCCUGCGAACCCGGGUCCAGGAAUGGGCGGCUUCCUGCGGUAGCCCCGCCGGCCUGGGCUUGCCCUUGGUCCACCUUCCUCUUUCCGCGAGGGAGAAACAGAUCCUGAGUUCAAAAUUCCAGAGCUGAAAGUCCUCUCUUGGAUCCUUCUGGAAAGAGUAAGCAAAAGCCCGUUUUUGUUGAGAAAGUGACUCGGCAGCCAUCCGGAGCUCUCUGCCUGCAGGUGGGGCCAUUCUCCCAUGGAGCCGACCCGACCCGCUCAAAGCUGCCCCGGGCACCGCAGGUUUGGUUCGCGCACGCCGGGACUUACCAACCGCACCCGGAAAAUCGGGGCCAUGUCCAAAUGUUUCGCUUCGCUGCCGGCUGGGAGCCGCGCCGGGCUCGCGCCUUGGAUCAAUUGCACAGUCCUGGCUUUGGGGAGCGGGAGGCGGCGAGCGUGCCCCCCCACCCCUUCCUCACCAGUGUGUCUGGGG
This 1490-nucleotide small RNA is filed under the name Pongo abelii (Sumatran orangutan). Its description in RNAcentral is "processed transcript". Lineage: Eukaryota; Metazoa; Chordata; Mammalia; Primates; Hominidae. The record is from RNAcentral.